UACGUGUAGAGCUAGCGUUGCUCGGAUUCACUGGGCUUAAAGGGUGCGUAGGCGGCCGAGUAAGUAAGGUGUGAAAUCCUGCAGCUUACCUGCAGAAUUGCAUUUUAUACUGCUUGGCUAGAGUACUGAAGAGGAUAGCGGAAUUCUGGGUGUAGCGGUGAAAUGCUUAGAUAUCCAGGAGAACGCCGGUGACGAAGGUGGCUAUCUGGUCAGAUACUGACGCUGAGGCACGAAAGCCAGGGGAGCAAACGGGAUUAGAUACCCCGGUAGUCCUGGCCCUAAACGAUGUACACUUGGUGGUGGGAACUUCGGUUCUCGCUGCCGGAGCGAAAGCGUUAAGUGUACCGCCUGGGGAGUACGCUCGCAAGGGUAAA
RNAcentral lists this ribosomal RNA (374 nucleotides) under uncultured bacterium. Its description in RNAcentral is "bacterial SSU rRNA". It matches the Rfam family "Bacterial small subunit ribosomal RNA", at positions 524 to 898 of the family's 1533-position model. The record is from RNAcentral.